CCGCGAACCCAUUCCCAUUCCCAUUCCCACUCUCCCUCCCUCCGCCGCCAAAUUCGCCGGAGAAACAAAAAAAAAAUGGACCGCCCGCGGCAGCAGCACGAGCCGGAGCAUCUCGGCGGCGGCGGCAUCGACGUCGAGGUCGAGCUCGACCCGGAGGACCUCCAGCCGUCGGUGCCCCUCAAGAAGGUCCCCGCGGGGGACCUCUUCGAGGCGGCCCGCGCGGGGGACUGCGCCCGCCUCGCCCUCCUCCUCGGCGGCGGCGCCAACGUCAACGAGCGCGACCGCUGGGACUCCGUCGCGCUCUACUACGCCUGCCUCGCCGGCCACGCCGACGCCGCCCGGAUGCUGCUCGAGGCCGGGGCCGUCUGCGCCGAGCGCACCUUCGACGGCGACCGCUGCCACUACGCCGCGCUCAACCUCCGCCUCCGGAGGCUGCUCAAGGCGUUCGAGGCCAGGCCCCCGCCGCUGCCGCCGCUCCCCGCCGCGCUCAGGGCCACGUUCCUCGCCUGCCCCGCCAACCGCGCCGCCUUCCUCGAGAUGCUCCAGUGGACCGCCGGCUCCGAAGCCGCCGCCCUCGCCGCUGCUGCUGGAUUUGGGCCAACGGACAAUCCAUCAAGUACUAGCCUAUUCCCUCCGGACAUUACAUUCUACGUGGAUGGAAAACCAAUUGAAGCUCAUCGGGUCAUUCUUUGUGCCCGGUCAUCCUUCUUUCGGAGGAAAUUCAAUACAGACUGGAAAGACAGGAAGGAAGUGAGAUUUUCUAGCCAGAAGUUAUCUUUUGGUGCCUUGUACAGCCUUGUCCAUUUCUUCUAUUCUGAUAGACUCGAAGUGGAUGUGGAUGAUAUGGAAAAUUUGGCGCGGGCGUGCAAAGUUUGUAAGUGUGAGGGUUUGCAAAAGAUAUUGAUUAAAGAAGCUACUCUCCAGAGAUAUGCAGAACACAAGUCACCGAGAGAUUUGGACAGUUCACAGAAGAGGUUCAUUUUACAUGGGCAAUCCUUGCCAGAGGAGGAUCGCCUUCCAUCAGCCCUGCGGCAUAUUUUUGAGGAAUGUCUAGCUAACUCAAGAGAACAAGAAUGUUAUAACGAUGAAUCAAAUGAAAUGAGCAGAGACUCUGGUGUAGAUGCUGCUGCUGAUCUUUAUAUAAAAGUAUGUGAUAAGGUUUUCCAUUGCCAUCAGGUGAUUUUAGCCUCAAGAUCAGAGUACUUUAAAGCUAGGCUAUCUAGAAACAUGGAUUUUCUUGAAGUCAAGAGUGGGCUUCAAUCAACUCAGAGCCUUCCUUUUCUUGAAGAGCAUGACAUGAGUACAGAAGCAUUUGAAAAGGUGCUUGAAUACAUGUAUACUGAUAACCUAGAGCAUAUGGAUCCUAAUCAGGCUGAAGAACUAUUUGAUAUUGCUUCGAGAUACCUGCUAUUCCCCCUUAAACGAGUUGUGGCAGAUAUACUUUUGCCUUAUCUGGAGCAUGUUUCACCUGCAGAACUAUGCCACUGGCUAAUGUUAUCAGACAUUUAUGAUGUUGUGAAAAUAAGGGAGUAUUGCUUGGAUAUCAUCGCUUGCAAUUUUGAGAUGUUUGCGGACACAAGAGAGUUCAGGGCAUUGCUUUUGACACUUCCACCACCAUCUGGAGAUGACUCACUGCGAACAACUCGUCCCAGUGAACCUGGUACUGCAGGCAACACUGACCAAGGCAACCUUCUUGAUGAUUUGCGUGAGAAAUGGUUAGAAGCAGAGGCUGCUGAGCUAGACGAGAGAGAUGAGAGUGCAAAGCUGUUUGACAACCGAUUGGAAAUGCUUAUGCUUGUAGCAGAACAAGAAGCCAAUGAUGGCAAUGUUUGACUCCACUGAGAAUUUGCACUGUACCUUCUCGUGUAGCUCUGUUUUUGAAGUCUUCACUGAAGCCAUAAUAUCACCACUGUGUGCCUGAUGUAGCAUCAUUUGUGUUUAAGUUGGACAUACUGUCAGCCAAAGAAUUCACAAAUGAAGAAUCCUAAGUAAAUCAUCUGUGGUCAUCGGGAGGACACGCCAUCAGGCAGCCUUGUUCCCCCUCUGAAUUUUCUGCUGUUGAACCAUGAUCCUCUGAAGCGAUUUCAGAGGCAACAUGUGAAGCCAUAGUUGAUGAUUCUGAUGAUUCAGAGGCUGUGGCUGUUUCUGCAUACUCCAAUACAUGAUGAUGACUCUGGCUGUUUCUGCUGAAUCCAAUCCAUGAUGCCAGUCAGCGUUAGGAUCGGACCUUUGGGCUAAGAUAUGAUGGGGCCGAUGAGGAUGUGGUGGCAACGGAAAUCAUGCCCAUCUGAAACUCUUGAAUUGGAAACUUGGGGACUGUUUAACCACGCUACUUACAUGUGGUCACUGAAUUUCAGAGGUAUCCUUUGGAUUGGCACAGGAUGAAAUGAGCGAUUUCGUAUGAACUUUGUGGAUUCCAAUUGCUAAUUUCUGUUCUUUUCUUAGAAAUUUCAACACUUUUUUAAUGUUAAAAGUGUGCUCUUGUACAGAUCCAA
This is a non-coding RNA of Oryza sativa Japonica Group (Japanese rice), 2495 nucleotides long. Lineage: Eukaryota; Viridiplantae; Streptophyta; Magnoliopsida; Poales; Poaceae. The record is from RefSeq and is a predicted model, not a curated record.